AAAUGGAAAGUGAAAAAUUACAAUCAGUUUCGACCUGAACCUUGACACAGAGUGUCUCCAUUUA
Molecule: transfer RNA, 64 nt
Filed under: Paracercion v-nigrum
Lineage: Eukaryota; Metazoa; Arthropoda; Insecta; Odonata; Coenagrionidae
Description: tRNA-Arg
Source: RNAcentral